Anopheles stephensi (Asian malaria mosquito) is the source of this 3624-nucleotide long non-coding RNA. RefSeq lists it as uncharacterized. NCBI's taxonomy places the organism in Eukaryota, Metazoa, Arthropoda, Insecta, Diptera, Culicidae. The record is from RefSeq and is a predicted model, not a curated record. The transcript is spliced from 2 exons.
UUGAGGACGGUUAAGCCUUGAGCUGGUGCGCUAAGCGCUAAGCAGGGCGCGAUCAAUAUUUGCUCAUCGUGGCCGUUCGUCCCGAGCGCUGGCUCGCUAAGUGAACGGAUUUAAAUGUUUCGUGUGCGGGACACAAAACGGGCCCUCUGUUUGUCCACAAAUACACACACACACACACACGAACUGGGUGAUCCCGGAUGGAUUGUUGGAUUUAUUAUUUGUGGACUAGUCAGAGAGAGAGAGAGAGAGAGAGAGAGAGGAAGCGACCGUUUGAAGCCGAGAAGGGUAAGUCUACCGCAGUUCGUAGUCGCUGUGGUCGUCGUCCCGAUGUCUCAGGGUGUGUAAGGAAUUCGACACGAUAAGCAAGACACGUUUCGAUGUUUAAAAAUGGCAUCACACAGCAAACACUGGACCCGACACAAGCAAAAGCCUCCCAAUUACUGCUCGUUUCUCGAAAUUAAAACAUUUGUUUCGCGAUGAACAUGACGAGAUAAUAGUACGGUCGGUGGUACUCAGCAUAAAUGCAUAAAUAAAUUUUCCCAACUCAUUCUGCAGCCUGCCUGGAGCCAGCGGGAACCCAACAGCUUGCAACGGAACCCCGCUAGAACCGGGGCCUAGAACGAGCGCCCAUUUUAUGAUCUCCCAUUGGAAUGUGUCAGAAUGUGGGGCUUUACACGGCACCUAGUUUAUCAAGAGCUGGACUCUCUCUUAAGCAGAGCACCCAAACCGAACAACCGGGACAACACACACACGGUUCGACACACGUUCGAAUGCUUUGGCAUCAAAUUAUGUGAAGCGUUGGUUUUGUCUGCGUCCGGGUACGGGUUUAACAGUUCGGAACUAAUUACUUCCCAAAACAAAACGCUCUCACUUGCUGCCUUUUUAAAAUGGGGCGCCGGUUUGGAAUUUGGGUUUACGUUCGAUCGUUCAGCGCUUAACAAACUGCGGGCGUAAUGAAGUAAAUGCACUUUUGUUUUUUCUCCAAGAGGGAACAUGAACGAACGAGACACGAUCAUAAAUACGACCACCAACUGGGUGGAAGCAGCAGUUGUUUUUAUCUUCUCUCGUUCAGUAUGCACAUUUCAGGGCGACUAAUGACGCCCUUUAAAAGGGAAACCAAAUUAUAGACACAGUUUGAAGUUGAAACAAGCGAGCAAAGAAGGGAACUUAAAGGGCAAGGACAAGGUUUUAAAAAUUAUGCUUAAACCAAUUCAUUAAGGUCAGUUUCGAACAAAUGUCGGGAUAAAGCGUUGGCUUUUGUCUUUCAGAGUAAAAUUUUAUAGCUUCCUUGGAGAUGACCAUUAAUGGCCAAAGUGUAUAUGAAAAAGGAGUAAAAUAAUUGUACGAAAAGCUUGUCCUGUUUUGAGGAUAACACAAUUAGUAAGAGUCAGUAGUUUUACAACAAGCCAUGUAAUUAUUUGUGCCAACCUGUGCAGACUCUUUCACUACGUAAGUUUUAUUUAUUUAUUUUAUUUUUCCUUGGCACUAGAGCCUCGAGAGGUCUUGGCCUACCAUUUCUGGCUUUCUGAGCCUUUAUUUUAACCUUAGCAAAGUAGUAGUUCUGCCGUGUGAAGACCGGCGCCGUUAUCGCCUCGGCCGCCGGCCAGCCCCAUAACAAUAUUUUUCUUAAUUUUCCAAUAAUCUGACAUGGAAAUAAGAUUGAACUUCUAAACAGGAAAAAUUCUAAAUUUUCCAAAAACAUGCACUCUUCUUAGUACGAAUAUACGUCUAGGCAUGUAUUCUUCUCGAAUGCUCCGUAGUAUCGACGCCUGCUAUUUUGAUCUUUAAGCUUCCAUCCCGCUAAAUACCCUAUGGGAUUAUUAUGAGUUUCUGUAACAUAAAGGAUGCUGCACUGGGAAAAAAACUCCCACAGACAGCAUCCCGCAUAGAAAGCAAAAUGAUCGUUUAUGACUCAUCCAAGAGAGCUAUCUCAGGAAAGAAAAACCACCAGCUAAGCUUCACCCUCCACGGACACCUUCACGAAGGAAAGCCUGCUCAAAAGUGCAUUCCAGCGAUAAGAAAAUAAUGAAUGACUUGACAGGGAGGAACAUAUCUUCUCCGACACACAGAAGGACAGAGCGGGCGCCCGGGAGUGGCCCAAGAGGAGGAUCCGAUAAAGCUUCACCCAGGUAGUGGAGAGACCUGAGGACUGGUCAAAUUAUAACAAAUUAGAACAGCGUUAAACACGGCUCGAAAGUGACACGAGAAGGAGAAAGGAGAACAAAACUUUGGUUUUCUGAUGUUGAUUCGAUUUGAUUGCAUUCCCAGGCGCUUGGCGCGUUUAGUGUCGUGUUUAAUGGAUUGGUUUGCCGGCCCGAUCGGACAGAGAUUGGUAGCAUUCCGCCGGCUGCAACGAGCUAGUUCUAUGAGCGAUCAUCACCGCGGCCGAGAUCGAUUGGAUCGAUUUUACGAAUCGAUGAGACUUUUUCCCCAAGCAAGCAGCAUCCACUGCCGGUCCGGAUCGUGAUCGCAUUUCUGGUGGCGGUAACGAGUCCCCUAACGAAUCGGGGCCGAAAAGUUCGCGAUAAGAGCUGUUCAUUAAGCAGCACAUUAACAUUUUUUUCCCACUGCACACGAACUGCGGCUGCGGGAAGACAGGAAUUCAAAUUCGGGACUUUGUGCACGAUGACAGUUGAAAGAAGAAAAAAAAAAAUGGGGAAGCAGCAUCAGUGUGCCCGGUUGGUCCCACACAAUGUCACACACGGAUGGAAUGCAACAAAGGGCCCAUUUCUAAAGGUGCGGGGCCAUGCGGACUUUGCUCACGUUUUUCUGGUACUUGUAACUGUCGCACCCGACGACGUCACGGCCGAAGGAUUACUCAAGGAUCAAUGGAUCGUCGAUGGAGCCAAUCGAGCGGUGGAUGGGACGAUCGGGUUUUGUUUGGUUGUUGUUUUGUUUUUUUUUGUCGCUUCAUUUCAGUACGUUUCGUGUGCGGUUGUGUGGUGCGACAAGCGAAAAAUAAAAUGCCAACCGGCCACCGGAUCGGGGAAGCGAUGGGCAAUGGUCAAGUUCAGUGCAGCUCAGCGCGCGCGCACACACCAGGCAACGCACGAUCACGAGCAGCGAAUGGCCCACCCUGAGCACUGAACAUAACGUCGGUUGACGAUAUGAUGCGUCCCGAGCCGCACGAAUGCGUGCCAAUUCCGGGCGAUCGUCUGGGAUCAGUGUCCGGUCAUCCCAGAUAGGCGCACUCGGUGCGUCCGGAGCGUCGAGUGCAGAUGGGACACUUAAGCUGGCAUGGGUCGGAAGGCGAUGUGGCGACAUCGGUGAUUGCUGUCCUUAGCUCGGGUGUGUGCUUGUUGCUGGUCAGUGCAACGACGGGCAGCAGAACGAAGGCACCACGAGAUAUCGAGGUACGCAUGUCACACGCCUGAAGGUUGUGGUCGAAUGCGAGAAACUAAGUAAAAUGAAUAGCUUGUCGUUCUGCCGCAAUCGACAGCUUUAAUGGGGUGAUGAGUGUGCGUGUGUGUGUGUGUCCGUGUCCUCACCCGUUCCUGCGACAGCACAACAUCGCCCAUCCACGAUUAAAUCGGCGAAAUUUUCCCCACUAUUCGGAUGGCACCCGUGGCAGACAGCAUGUCACAAACCGAACCGACCAAAGGACACGGGUGAGCAACAAAAAAA